This 468-nucleotide ribosomal RNA is filed under the name uncultured bacterium. Its description in RNAcentral is "partial 16S ribosomal RNA". It matches the Rfam family "Bacterial small subunit ribosomal RNA", at positions 28 to 507 of the family's 1533-position model. The record is from RNAcentral.
GACGAACGCUGGCGGCGUGCUUAACACAUGCAAGUCGAACGGAAAGGCCCUGCUUUUGUGGGGUGCUCGAGUGGCGAAAGGGUGAGUAACACGUGAGUAACCUGCCCUUGACUUUGGGAUAACUUCAGGAAACUGGGGCUAAUAACGGAUAGGAGCUCCUGCUGCAUGGUGGGGGGUGGAAAGUUUCGGCGGUUGGGGAUGGACUCGCGGCUUAUCAGCUUGUUGGUGGGGUAGUGGCUUACCAAGGCUUUGACGGGUAGCCGGCCUGAGAGGGUGAGCGGCCACAUUGGGACUGAGAUACGGCGCAGACUCCUACGGGAGGCAGCAGUGGGGAAUAUUGCACAAUGGGCGGAAGCCUGAUGCAGCAACGCCGCGUGCGGGAUGACGGCCUUCGGGUUGUAAACCGCUUUCGCCUGUGACGAAGCGUGAGUGACGGUAAUGGGUAAAGAAGCACCGGCUAACUACGUG